Rhododendron vialii is the source of this 536-nucleotide long non-coding RNA. RefSeq lists it as uncharacterized. The record is from RefSeq and is a predicted model, not a curated record. Lineage: Eukaryota; Viridiplantae; Streptophyta; Magnoliopsida; Ericales; Ericaceae. The transcript has 2 exons.
CUCCAUUUCAUUUUCUGGUUCCCAGGCUAUACACAUUUCGGCAGAUAGAGAGGGAGAGAAAUUUCAGCCGGCCACCACUCCUCCAUUCUCCAACCCCAGCCGUGUACCUCCAUCACCACCCCGAGCAUCACCACCGUAGUCCAUCUCUUCACCACCGGAAUCCGACCGCCGCCGUACAUUCCAAUCACUACCGUACAUCGUCAUCUCCAUUAACCGGGUCACCACCAACCGAGUUCUACCGCCGCUCCGACCCGCCACCGAAUCUCUCCGAAAAUUGUUUCGCCGGACGAGAGGUACCGAAGAUGGAACAGAAGUGUCGUACGAUUCGAUAGAGUUAAAUCCUAACGAGGAAGAAGCUGAAAACUUUGGUUUCCGUGCGCAUAGUCGCUCUGAUUAAUUUAAGUCUACUUUAUUUUGAAAGCUUCUAAGUUUAUUUGGAUAUUGUAAUAUUUUGAUUUAUUCGAAACGGUUGUAAAAUAAUGACAUUUGCUUUUGAAAUGGUGACGCAGUAAAUCUAUGAAUUUCUUUUGUGAAAA